AGCGAACGCUGGCGGCAGGCCUAACACAUGCAAGUCGAACGAACUCUUCGGAGUUAGUGGCGGACGGGUGAGUAACACGUGGGAACGUGCCUUUAGGUUCGGAAUAACUCAGGGAGAACUUGUGCUAAUACCGAAUGUGCCCCCCGAUUCAUUUUGGGGUGGGAAAGAUUUAUCGCCUUUAGAGCGGCCCGCGUCUGAUUAGCUAGUUGGUGAGGUAAAGGCUCACCAAGGCGACGAUCAGUAGCUGGUCUGAGAGGAUGAUCAGCCACAUUGGGACUGAGACACGGCCCAAACUCCUACGGGAGGCAGCAGUGGGGAAUCUUGCGCAAUGGGCGAAAGCCUGACGCAGCCAUGCCGCGUGAAUGAUGAAGGUCUUAGGAUUGUAAAAUUCUUUCACCGGGGACGAUAAUGACGGUACCCGGAGAAGAAGCCCCGGCUAACUUCGUGCCAGCAGCCGCGGUAAUACGAAGGGGGCUAGCGUUGCUCGGAAUUACUGGGCGUAAAGGGAGCGUAGGCGGACAUUUAAGUCAGGGGUGAAAUCCCGGGGCUCAACCUCGGAAUUGCCUUUGAUACUGGGUGUCUUGAGUAUGAGAGAGGUGUGUGGAACUCCGAGUGUAGAGGUGAAAUUCGUAGAUAUUCGGAAGAACACCAGUGGCGAAGGCGACACACUGGCUCAUUACUGACGCUGAGGCUCGAAAGCGUGGGGAGCAAACAGG
This 716-nucleotide ribosomal RNA is filed under the name uncultured Caulobacteraceae bacterium. RNAcentral describes it as "bacterial SSU rRNA". It matches the Rfam family "Bacterial small subunit ribosomal RNA", at positions 28 to 776 of the family's 1533-position model. The record is from RNAcentral. Lineage: Bacteria; Pseudomonadati; Pseudomonadota; Alphaproteobacteria; Caulobacterales; Caulobacteraceae.